UUUUUCCUAGGGGAGGCAGCAGUGGGGAAUAUUGGGCAAUGGGCGCAAGCCUGACCCAGCAACGCCGCGUGAAGGAAGAAGGCCCUCGGGUUGUAAACUUCUUUUAUCAAGGACGAAACAAAUGACGGUACUUGAUGAAUAAGCCACGGCUAACUACGUGCCAGCAGCCGCGGUAAUACGUAGGUGGCAAGCGUUAUCCGGAUUUACUGGGUGUAAAGGGCGUGUAGGCGGGACUGCAAGUCAGAUGUGAAAACCAUGGGCUCAACCCAGGGCCUGCACUUGAAACUGUA
RNAcentral lists this ribosomal RNA (290 nucleotides) under uncultured bacterium. RNAcentral describes it as "partial 16S ribosomal RNA". It matches the Rfam family "Bacterial small subunit ribosomal RNA", at positions 333 to 637 of the family's 1533-position model. The record is from RNAcentral.